ACGCACUGGAGGACCGAACCAGGGCACGUUGAAAAGUGCUUGGAUGACUUGUGGGUAGCGGAGAAAUUCCAAACGAACUUGGAGAUAGCUGGUUCUCUCCGAAAUAGCUUUAGGGCUAGCGUCGACAUUAGAGAUUCUUGGAGGUAGAGCACUGUUUGGGUGAGGGGUCCAUCCCGGAUUACCAAUCUCAGAUAAACUCCGAAUGCCAAAGAAUUAUGGUCGGCAGUCAGACUGCGAGUGCUAAGAUCCGUAGUCGAAAGGGAAACAGCCCAGACCACCAGCUAAGGUCCCAAAAUAAUUGUUAAGUGGAAAAGGAUGUGGGGUUGCACAGACAACUAGGAUGUUAGCUUAGAAGCAGCUAUUCAUUCAAAGAGUGCGUAAUAGCUCACUAGUCGAGUGACCCUGCGCCGAAAAUGUACCGGGGCUAAAACAAUUUACCGAAGCUGUGGAUACCUUUAUAGGUAUGGUAGGAGAGCGUUCUAUGUGUGGAGAAGGUGUACCGUGAGGAGCGCUGGAACGCAUAGAAGUGAGAAUGCCGGUAUGAGUAGCGAAAGACAGGUGAGAAUCCUGUCCACCGUAAGACUAAGGUUUCCAGGGGAAGGCUCGUCCGCCCUGGGUUAGUCGGGACCUAAGGAGAGACCGAAAGGUGUAUCCGAUGGACAACAGGUUGAUAUUCCUGUACUAGAGUAUGAAGUGAUGGAGGGACGCAGUAGGCUAACUAAAGCAGACGAAUGGAAGAGUCUGUCUAAGCAGUGAGGUGUGAAUUGAGUCAAAUGCUUAAUUCUAUAACAUUGAGCUGUGAUGGGGAGCGAAGUUUAGUAGCGAAGUUAGUGACGUCACACUGCCAAGAAAAGCUUCUAGCGUUUAAACAUACUCUACCCGUACCGCAAACCGACACAGGUAGUCGAGGCGAGUAGCCUCAGGUGAUCGAGAGAACUCUCGUUAAGGAACUCGGCAAAAUGACCCCGUAACUUCGGGAGAAGGGGUGCUGGCUUAAAGUCAGCCGCAGUGAAUAGGCCCAAGCAACUGUUUAUCAAAAACACAGCUCUCUGCUAAAUCGUAAGAUGAUGUAUAGGGGGUGACGCCUGCCCGGUGCUGGAAGGUUAAGAGGAGUGCUUAGAGGUAACUCGAAGGUAUGAAUUGAAGCCCCAGUAAACGGCGGCCGUAACUAUAACGGUCCUAAGGUAGCGAAAUUCCUUGUCGGGUAAGUUCCGACCCGCACGAAAGGCGUAAUGAUUUGGGCACUGUCUCAACGAGAGACUCGGUGAAAUUUUAGUACCUGUGAAGAUGCAGGUUACCCGCGACAGGACGGAAAGACCCCAUGGAGCUUUACUGUAGUUUGAUAUUGAGUACCUGUAAGUCAUGUACAGGAUAGGUAGGAGCCAUUGAAAUAGGGACGCUAGUUUCUAUUGAGGCGUUGUUGGGAUACUACCCUUGACUUAUGGUUACUCUAACCCGCUGGCAUAAUCGGCCAGGGAGACAGUGUCUGACGGACAGUUUGACUGGGGCGGUCGCCUCCUAAAGAGUAACGGAGGCGCUCAAAGGUUGGCUCAGAUUGGUUGGAAAUCAAUCGUAGAGUGUAAAGGUAAAAGCCAGCUUGACUGCGAGAGCUACAACUCGAGCAGGUAGGAAACUAGGACUUAGUGAUCCGGUGGUACCGCAUGGAAGGGCCAUCGCUCAACGGAUAAAAGCUACCCUGGGGAUAACAGGC
This 1711-nucleotide ribosomal RNA is filed under the name human oral metagenome. RNAcentral describes it as "bacterial LSU rRNA". It matches the Rfam family "Bacterial large subunit ribosomal RNA", at positions 761 to 2482 of the family's 2925-position model. The record is from RNAcentral.